Odocoileus virginianus texanus is the source of this 1645-nucleotide non-coding RNA. The record is from RefSeq and is a predicted model, not a curated record. NCBI's taxonomy places the organism in Eukaryota, Metazoa, Chordata, Mammalia, Artiodactyla, Cervidae.
UGUAUCAGACUGUAGUGUGUUGAGGUCAAGAACAUGAAAUCUAGGGCCAGGCCGCCUAUGUUUAUUGACUCACAAUGACAAAGAGCAAAUAACUUUACCUUUCAGAGUGUGGUCUCCUGUAAAACAGAAUCACAGUAGAGCUGCUGUCACAAGCUUGUUACAACAAUGAAAUGAGUUAAUAAAACAUACAAAACUUACAGUGAAAUUCAGUGGACUAUGGGAUGGAUAUGGAUUCUGAGAAUGCACUGCUCAAUCUCUGAUUGUUAGAAGAAAGAAGAAGGAGGGAGAGGAGAAGGAAACAUACUGCAAAUCCUCUGGUUAAAAUGAGGUAGAGAUGUCUCAUUUUACAUCUGCAUCUACCAGUACAUACAUCGGCAUGUAGUUUGUGGGAAGGAUUGGAUAAGCAUGCAUUUGAAUCCAGUACACCAGUGACGCUAUAGCAAUGUGUGAUGAGGUCAGAGUUGGAAUCACAGCAACAAAAGUGGAUGAUGUACAGUGAUGAGAAAACUGAGAAGAAUCAGAAUAGUAGACCCAUAAGAGAACCAAAAUGAACCUGUGACAAGACAGGCAAGAGUGGAGACAGUAACAAGGAGGAAUCUGUGAUCAGGAAGUAAAAACCACUGGAUUUCAUGAGCGAAUCACUGAUAACUUUUAAGAAAACUAUUUCAGGUUGAAGAUGUCCUUGAUGAUGUGUGUUUUCACCUGUUUGCAGACUUAACCCUGCUUGCUUAAGGGGAACUCAGUAAAGCUACUGCAGUAUAUAUCAACACCAUCGAGAGAAACUGGCUUUGAUCCACAUUCUAAAACUGGACUUGCAGCACUACCAAAUCACCCAAAUAUAAUUUUGACAAAUGCCAUGUCAAAAAAAUGUAGACAUAUGAUUUUCUUAAGGAACCCAAGCUCCCGAAAUAAGUCAAGGGUGAAGCUUUUCAACUGUCCAGCAGAAGCAAUCUCUCCAAUAGAAUACAGUAACUUCUGACUUUACUCAACUCACAAAGCUGCAAGACCCACUGGAAGCCCAAGCCUCCUGGAACUGCUCCUGGGCCAUGGGCACUGUAACAAGAUGCUUCCCAACAACCUUGCUUUGGGGAGCUGGGAGAGACUGGGUCAGCUGACCCUGUUUCCGAAGGUCCUUGGUGUAAGAUGUCAGAAACCAAAUCAUGUGUGCUUUUCUUUUUUACGGGAUCAAAAAGGGUCACAUGAGGAAGUUGGAGAACUUCCACUGUUGAAACCUGUGAGCUAAUCAUGCAAAGGUAAAGUUGAAAGUGGGAAGAUUUUCAGUGCUGAGUCUGCAGUCUUGGAAAGUUCUCAGGGCACGUUCCUCUCUUUUCAUUUUAUACAACACAGCAUUGCUGGGAGGAAUCGGGGCACAAAUGCUGGAGUGGUGAGGAAGGAACCUUCCACUCUACAUGAUUUCUCAUGACUCUUCAGUCCGGAGAGACUGCUGGUUCUGAGUUGUCUCCACCCUACUCCCCUAGGAGAGCUGCAGUGUACCCUGACAUGUUCUGACAUGUGGUGGUCCCUGACAUGGGGGCCCCUGAAGCGUGUGGUUUCCUUCCUUAAGGACGUUUGUCAGGACCCUGCCCACGCUAAAGGAUGUCUUGCUACUUAGUGCAAGAAUUUAGUUCCCUCCGGCCAUUUCCCA